GACGAACGCUGGCGGCGUGCCUAAUACAUGCAAGUCGAGCGAAGUUUUUCUGGUGCUUGCACUAGAAAAACUUAGCGGCGAACGGGUGAGUAACACGUAAAGAACCUGCCUCAUAGACUGGGACAACUAUUGGAAACGAUAGCUAAUACCGGAUAACAGUAUUUCUCGCAUGAGAGAUAUUUAAAAGUUGGUUAUGCUAACACUAUGAGAUGGCUUUGCGGUGCAUUAGCUAGUUGGUGGGGUAAAGGCCCACCAAGGCGACGAUGCAUAGCCGACCUGAGAGGGUGAUCGGCCACACUGGGACUGAGACACGGCCCAGACUCCUACGGGAGGCAGCAGUAGGGAAUCUUCCGCAAUGGGCGAAAGCCUGACGGAGCAACGCCGCGUGAGUGAAGAAGGAUUUCGGUUCGUAAAGCUCUGUUGUUAGGGAAGAAUGGAUAUGUAGUAACUAUACAUGUAAGUGACGGUACCUAACCAGAAAGCCACGGCUAACUACGUG
This 499-nucleotide ribosomal RNA is filed under the name uncultured bacterium. Its description in RNAcentral is "partial 16S ribosomal RNA". It matches the Rfam family "Bacterial small subunit ribosomal RNA", at positions 28 to 507 of the family's 1533-position model. The record is from RNAcentral.